This is a long non-coding RNA of Bos taurus (domestic cattle), 5130 nucleotides long. Lineage: Eukaryota; Metazoa; Chordata; Mammalia; Artiodactyla; Bovidae. The record is from Ensembl.
CAGGCUUUGAGGCAGCCUUCCCACCCGCGCCCCUGAGCCCGGAGUGGGGAUCCCGGAGCCCGCACUUUGUCCGCUGGACUCGGGCCCCGGCGAACCUGAGGCUCAGUCCUCGGCUCAGCCUAGCUCUUCCCCCCCUUGCGCCUCAGGGUCUCCUCGCUCCUGGUUCCCGAAGUCUUGCGCCCGAGGGACACUCUAAACUUCAGUUGAGUAAUGGGGACGAGAGGGGGUGGUGGUGCAGAUACACAAUCCCUGCGCUAUCUCGCGAUCGGGAAAGGAGAGGGCUCAUAAGGACGCCCCAAUUCGGGAGCGCCCUGGAGCCUGGAGAGCAAUAGAGUCAGUUCGCGCGAAGUGGGCACCAGUCUUCCGAGUAGAGUUUCGGGUGCUCCGGACCACACUGCGCUCCCGCAAGAGUCUCUCUAGCCACUUUGGUCUUCCCCCGCUCUUUAAAAUCUAAAUCUUUUGUGUGCGGGUAAAUGUUUCUGUUUUCCUCCUGACGACUUUAUUUCUCUUGGUAUAACUUCUCCUUUUUCCUUGUUCGCCCUUUCUUCACCUUUUCUCCCGCUUAUUUUUCCUCUCUUGAGGCCUCGCUCGAUCUCACACACACACAAACACACACCCACACCCCUCUGCACCUCGCUCUUUCUCCCCAGGUCCUGUUGGUUACAGUAGAUUUUGAUAAAAAGACAAACGAAGCUAUCAGUGGGGCUGAUGUUGAAGAAUGAAGAUAAUAAUGUUUCCAUAGGUGGUGCUUCAAAUGCCAUUAUUUCUCACUGAAUAUUUAAAGAGAUCCCUCGGCAAAGAUGGAUCUGCGUGCUCCUGGGGUGCCAGCCUCUCGCUUCCCCCAGAUCCCCGGGAAAGUGUGAGGGAGCACGUGUAAAACCCACCCCCCGCUCUGCAAACUGUGAUCCUCGCAGGCAUCCCAACCCACACUCUUCCAGCCCCAGUACUUCGCUUCCCCGAGAGUUUCAGAAACUCUUUCCUUAACUGCUGUCGCUCAAAUCCUCAUCUCUCCUCGGCCACUGGAGAGGUUUCAGACCCGAGGCUUCGGGGAGCCUGCUCAGGGCCAUCUGCAUGCCGGACGUUUAGAAACUGACUUCUUCGCUGGCGACCGCAAGUGCCUGUGAUUUUUUCUUUCCGUCUACAUUGAACAUCUUAUACUGAAACUCACUGCACCCUGCGUGCCACAGUGCCUCGCUAAGGGGUCUCUGGGUACAAAAUGUCUCUCAAAGGAAAUGUAUCGAGAUACUUGCCAGGAACUAGCUUUAUUCACAUCGUGCUUGGGAGUUGGAGUUGGACUCUUGGGUGCCUGUGCUGGCUCUGUCGUUUGAUGGUAUCUUGGGAACACCGUCGUGGGUGUGCACCCGUGUGGAAAUGGAUCAUUUCUACUUAUCCUACUUACCCCUUAGUUUCAACAAGCGAGCCCUGCACCUCUCUGAGCCUCUUCUGUAGCUGGGUAGGAGGAUGUGGAGACUGCCUGUGAACAGCCCUGACAACUUGCCUGGCAUGUGACAGCCGCUCUCUCUCUGGAUCGGAACCUGCGGUACUCUGCCUCCUGAGAAAUGUGGGCUGUGAUGGACGACUAGAUGGUGCCCCAACUAAGAUGAAGAACACGGCGCCGGGGGCAGCAGACACCAGGAGAAUCAAUAAACUAUAAUUAUCAAGAGCGGUGUCUGUGAGAGGUGUGGAGUCCUGUGGACAGAGAGAGACAGAGGAGGGGGCGAGAGCGAGACACACGCACAUCCUGAGAGAUGCAGAAGACGCAUGCGCCCAAGGACGCGAAAGCCAGAAGGGAGAAGCAGAAUGGGUGUGAUGUACACAGGCCCUCCACCCCUGCGCCGCACCCCGCCCCACCCCCGGCCCCAACCUUGCUGAUGGGCCUGGCAGAAGGUGCAAGAGCAGGUCUCCCACCUAUUUAUAUAGCCCUCAGCUUUUUACAUUCUCCAAGUCCUCAGCCAUAUCAUUUUUUUGCAUUACAAAAAGAAUAUCAGAGCCUCAAUAUAAGAAUGGAUUCCACUGAUAACAUCAAAUCCAUUCAUUUGAUUAGGCUGAGAUGCGAAGUCAAUAUAGAUUGCAAUAUAUUGCUUUAGAAACAUGACUUCCACAUCACCAGGGUCUUCAUCGUCCCUGAGUUUACCACUGUCCUCUGGGCCCACCACUACUCCAUGCGGUUUUUGAUCCAGCACUUCUGGAACUGAUGUACGAGACUGUCACCAGGAGUUCUUGAGGAGCCUCGUGUACCCGCUGCUGUCAGUGAGCUCUGCCUGUUGCUGCUUAACCUGAUAUAGUGUGAAGCCCUCUUGAAAUGCUACCUUUUCUGAUCCCCAACACUUGAGGUCUCACCACUCCCCCGAGAAAGGAUUAUUGAAUCUGUGUUCAUUUUCUUGGCCCCAUUUGAUCUGGGAACCUAGUGACCUUUAUCAGCACACAACUGGCCUGAUUUGAAGUCAUUUGGGGUUGGUGUGUCUUCUGAAUUUAUUAGAGAGGUUCUCAUAGGAGGCAUGCUUUUGUGACACUCAGAUUGUCAGAGUCCCUCCCCAUGUCCUUUUUUAAGGUUAGUAUUUUUUUUUUUUUUUAAACAAACGCAUGCAAACUAGUUUUACUUUGGGCUUUAUUGUGUGCCUGGCACCAGCCUAAGCAUUUUACAAGCAUUAUCUCAGUCAGCACUUAAUCUCAAUGGCACCAAUAGCAACUAUUUCUUCCCUCAUUUGUGGGAGCUAUUUCUUCCCUCCCUGUCACAGAGCUCACAGGUGGCCAAGCUUAGUGGAUGCCCAGGCCAGCCUGGAAGCCCGGGGCCAUCACCACCUUUCCCAGAGAGGAAACUGAGCCUGAACAGAUUAACACCCAGGGCCUCACAGCUCACCAGAGUUAAGUGACCAGACGGGGUUGGAUCAGGCCCCCCAACUCCCAGAGAAGUUGAAGUGAAAAUGAAGGUACACAAUAAAACCCAGCCUGCAUUGGGGGUCUCCAGGAUGGUCCCACACUUCCCCCCAUCUCCUUCCUACCACCUUGAAGGAUGCACACAGCCUUUCCAGCUCUAGGGGACACAUGGCCGCCCAGGAUCCCAGGCGGCAGGGACACAGGGCUCCUCUGAAUUCUCUUUCCAUUCUGGAUUGGGGGCAGGUGGGGGGACCAUCCAUAAAGCUCCCUCUGGCUUAGAAGCAGAAGGAAGAGACCUGUGUGUGUCCACUUGGCUGAGGGAUCCUCGGUGAGAAGACUGUUCCUGGGUUUGGGUGGCCAUCAGGCGCAGGCACCCACAGCUCUCACCUGGUGCGGAUGCGUGGAGAGGUUUGGAAGCUCUAGGAGAAGAAAGAUGUUGGGAACAAAUAAUUGCCUGCACCUUCUCUCCUGCCCAGAGGAAAGAGCCAGGAAAUAGGAAGAUUUCCAAGCCAAAGUCUGCAACUUAUCCAUGGGGCCACAGGAUGAUGCACAUCGCUGACUGGACUCAGGGCCCCUGGAGUCUCCCAUGGCCCACAAAUGCCUUGAACUAAACAUACUGCAGGGAUGCUGACAUCUAUAAACUUAUGAGUCUGAUGCGGUCUCCACUGCUAACUAACCUCUUGAAGCCUUCUUUUGCUCUUUGUGUUUUUUAUUGGAAAGUGGGCAAAAUGAUAGUGUCUACCUGUCUUAGUCCUAGUCCAUUCAGGCUGCUCUAACAGAAUAUCACAAACAGUAAGGUGGCUUUUAAAUGAGACAUUUAUUUCUCAUAGCUCUGGAGGCUGGAAGUCCAAAACUGGGGGAUCCAGUAUGGUUGGAUGAGGGCCCUCUUCUGGGUUGUAGAUACCUCAGUAUACACUUAUGAGGGUAGAAAGGGACAGCAGAAGUGAUUUAUCAGGAGGCUUCUUACAUAAGGCACUAAUACCAUUCAUGAGGGCUGCACCCUCAUGACGUAAGCACCUCUCCGAGGCUUCAGCUCCUGACCAUCAUCUUGCGUGUAGGUUCAGUCACUCAGUCAUGUCCGACUCUCUGUGGCUUCGUGGAUUGUAGACUGCCAGCCUCCUCUGUCCAUGGAAUUUUCUAGUCAAGAGUACUGGAGUGGGUUAACACGCCUUCUCCAGGGAUUCUUCCCGACCCAGGGAUUGAACUCGUGUCUCUUUCAUCUCCUGCGCUGGCAAGUGGAUUCUUUAUCACUGGGGGCUAAGAUUUCCACAUAUGAACUUUGAGGGGACACAGCAUUCAGGUCGUAGUACUACCUCAAAGACUGCUUUAGGUUUUCCAUGAGGAAAUUAUAAAGCAUUUCAAUGCAUGUUUGGUUUAUGCCAAAACUCAAACUAAAUGGUGACUGUCUGUGACUUGCCAUUUUUGUGCCCAUUUUCUCAUUUGGAAAACAGGAUAAACAAUAAAUAACCCUUAUACUCUACUUCAGAAUGGAGUUUAAAUAGGUAAUGUUGGGAAUUCCCUGGUGAUCCAAGGGUUAGGAUUCUAUGGUUUUACAGCUGUGGGCCUGGGCUCGAUCCAUGGUUGGGGAACUACAAUCCUGCCAGGUUUGCCAAGAUAAAAAAAAAAAAAAAAAACUUAAGGUUGAGCCAUAUGAAAUUGUCAAUAUUUGAUCAUUUUUGACCUCUACAAAUUGCAAUUUCUUGUGUGCCAAUCUGAUGACAUGUGGUAUGUCAAUUCAUAUCUAUAGAGCCUUAUAACCAGUUAUACAUAUGAGUGGUUGCUUUGCUUUCUAGUUUCAUUGUGAAACACGUCUCAGAAAAAUGACAAGAUUGCACCUAUGGGAUUGUUUUUCUCUCUUUGUUUCAUUUUAUAGUCUUCUUCACCUCUCCCCAGAACUUGCCCAUCAUCAUAUUUCACAGAACUCUGGAAGGGCAAGCUCUGUUCAUCAGAAACAUCCCACUGGAGAGAGUAGAUUUGUUAUUUUCUGUGUUACGUUGUUAAUUGAUUUGAUAAUUGCCUGGGAGACACACACAGACAUACACAUACACAAAACAAAUGUCAGGCCACACACUUUUCUCUAGACAGUAAGAUGAAGAUGUUUUAGUUAUUGGAACGCAGAUGUCACCUAGAAGAAUAAGAGGAGGUACCGGGAAAAAAAGAGGGGAGUGGAGCCGACAGGGCGGGGGGAGGCAGGCCAUCCCUCUUGGUUAUCAAGCGAAAUGACUCCCCAAAUAUGACAAUAAAUCACUGCAG